CACGAAGGCUUUGUUACGUUAUAGCUUAAUUUCUAUUUAGAACCAUAUUAAAUACAAAUAAAGCAGCGUUAGCGGCGCUAGAAAUAGCGAGUAUAUCGAAACCACAAUAUGACACAUGGGCCGCCCGCUUGACAUCGCAUUAAGUAGCAGCAAUUGUCUUGACAUCAGCAUUGUGAGCCUCGCUACCGAAGCCUCAUACUAAGCCCAAAUAGCACAGAAUAGUGUGUGCAGUGAUACGGUGAAGACACCCAACCUCCGUGUUCGACAACUCCGCAUAAUUUGUGUGGCACGAGAAAUUAAUCACCAUUGACGGUAAAAUAGACACCGUCAGUUAGCCAACAACGGACGAGUUGUUCGGAGACGAUCGCCACGUGUGCAAACAAUACUGGUCGACAUUUAGAUUAGUGGCACCAUUCGAUUUUCAUCCAAUCUCAAAGGUAUAUUACACGGCUGGCUACUGCAUCACCCAUAUUCUCAUAGUCUGUAUAUUGUUACAGCAAUUGCACGUGGCUUUACCAGAACGCAUAGGUUUUGCAUGUGGGAUCGCAUGUAUCACUAGGUAAGCCAUACUCGAUGCGAGAGCGUGCAUUCCACUGACCUUGACUUAACCUUUUAGUACACGACUGCAUCGAUAGACGAGGGCAUUAUCAUUGCAAAGCGCACAGAAAGGCCUUCGCACAAUCAGAAGGCCUUUCUUCCCUUUGCUAAAUUCGCAGCAUCACAGACUGAGUCACGUGGCAUGCGAGCGGAGCUCAGCAGCACACACGAAAGAACCGGCACAUAUCGACCGUGAGGAUCAAGCCAGGCACCUGCACCACAGCGAACGAUUGGAAUAAUCGGCACAGCGGACAUAGAACGGUCACACUAUUGGGAAAAGUGUAGGCACCAAUAUCCAACUCGGACGACGGCAAGCGGUGCGAGGUGGCGGGAUCCAGCGGGCGGCGUGUGUCAUCAUUAGACUCACAACAGAGAUGGGCCCAUCGUGAGUAGAUCGAUAUAAAGAAAACAGCAUGCUAUUAGAGUAGUUAGAAUAGGCUGGUAAUAGGAAUAUGGUUCUGAUACGAUAAUAAAUCAAUAUCUAUUGUCAUGAUUUGA
Molecule: long non-coding RNA, 1095 nt
Organism: Armigeres subalbatus
Lineage: Eukaryota; Metazoa; Arthropoda; Insecta; Diptera; Culicidae
Exons: 3
Source: RefSeq, a predicted model, not a curated record